CAACCUGACUUGAAAGCGUCACC
This 23-nucleotide small nuclear RNA is filed under the name Arabidopsis thaliana (thale cress). RNAcentral describes it as "snRNA_08595". The record is from RNAcentral. Lineage: Eukaryota; Viridiplantae; Streptophyta; Magnoliopsida; Brassicales; Brassicaceae.